Long non-coding RNA from Fukomys damarensis (Damara mole-rat), 1412 nucleotides. RefSeq lists it as uncharacterized. Lineage: Eukaryota; Metazoa; Chordata; Mammalia; Rodentia; Bathyergidae. The transcript has 6 exons. The record is from RefSeq and is a predicted model, not a curated record.
CAUUAUAGAUUUAGGGUUUCCUUCUUUUGAAUCUCACAUAAGUGAAAUCAUGUUGUACCUUCCUUUGUGUCCUGCUUCUGUGACUCGGUCUGUGUUUGUAAGAUUAGUCCUUGUUGUGAUAUGGACUUUAGCUCCUCAUCUCUGAUAGUGCUGUUUGAUCAACUGAACAUUCCACAGUGUAUUUGUCUGUCCUACUGUUGAUUUUCUUCCUUCUUGGUUUUUAAAUAAUUCAAUCAACAUCACAAUGAACUUGUUGUUCAUGUUUCAGGUGCGCAUAUGCGUGAGUUUCUCCAGGGACUAGAACUGGGAAGGGAGUUUCUCAAUCAUAAGAUCCUGAAAGAAAGAAGAAGGAGCCAGAGCAAGGGAAAAUGGAAAGCAAAUAGAAAGCCAUAAGACAAGGCUCACCCUUGACAGGCGUACUCAGUCGGCCUGUUGGCCCGUCCCCACAGAGGCGGUGUAGAGACACACACUCCAGGGAGGGAAGGAGAGGAAACUUAUGUAUCUCUUGGCUCCUUCCUAUCGCCUAUCUAGUCAAACUUGCCCACUGGGGAUUUAACUCUUCUGAACUUCACUUGGAGUUACCUGGUCUGUACACUGGGGCAUAAAGUGCCAACUGAGUAGGAGAAGACAGAGUGUGGGCAGUGGCCUCCACCCACAGAUGCACAGAGUUGGCUGUUACUUGGCAAGGUCUGCAGAGGAGUAAGAAGCUGCCUCCAGGAGACAGAUGAGACACACCCUCGGUGCCUAGCAGAUGGCCUGGUUUACAGGGCUACUCAAUAAAGAACUGUCAGUGGAUGGCACCAAAGGCCCCUGGAGCUGGAAUGGACCUGGAGAGCGUAUCAACCAGUUUUCUCCAAUAUGUCAGAAAGCAGUAAUGCCCAGAGAGGCCAACCCAAGUGUAACGGGAUGCAAAGAUGGGAAACAAGGCCUAAGAAACAAUGAAAGAUGUGCAACCUCAUUAAUAUUCCAGGGUGCACAAUGUAAAAAACACAAUGCUAUGCUCACCUUAAUUAAGCAAUAAUUUAAAGUUUUGGAGAGGAUCUUGGAAGAAACCCACGUGUGCACAAAGAUUACAUGCAGGUGUCAACUCGCCAGCAGAUAUUUAUCAUGCACCUGCAGUGUGAUCUCCAGAGAAGAAGAGAGCCAUAAACAAAAUUCACCUCAGCCCCUUCCUUCACACAGCCUACCUUCUACUUGAAGAGACAGGGUCUCUCUGGUGGCGAUGGCUCUGUGGAAAAUAGACUGGAAGAAGGACAAGGUUGGAAAUGAGAAAGGGAGCAUCGCAGUACUUCAGAUUUAACCCAAGGCCCUCACACUGAGUUAUAUCCGGGUCCCUUUUUCAUUAAGUUGUUCAGUUGCCCGGGCUGGGCUUGAAUUUACGAUCCUUCCAUCUCAGCCUCUUGAUACUGGGA